AGAGUUUGAUCCCGGCUCAGAACGAACGCUGGCGGCGUGGAUAAGACAUGCAAGUCGAACGAGAGAAUUGCUAGCUUGCUAAUAAUUCUCUAGUGGCGCACGGGUGAGUAACACGUGAGUAACCUGCCCCCGAGAGCGGGAUAGCCCUGGGAAACUGGGAUUAAUACCGCAUAGUAUCGAAAGAUUAAAGCAGCAAUGCGCUUGGGGAUGGGCUCGCGGCCUAUUAGUUAGUUGGUGAGGUAACGGCUCACCAAGGCGAUGACGGGUAGCCGGUCUGAGAGGAUGUCCGGCCACACUGGAACUGAGACACGGUCCAGACACCUACGGGUGGCAGCAGUCGAGAAUCAUUCACAAUGGGGGAAACCCUGAUGGUGCGACGCCGCGUGGGGGAAUGAAGGUCUUCGGAUUGUAAACCCCUGUCAUGUGGGAGCAAAUUAAAAAGAUAGUACCACAAGAGGAAGAGACGGCUAACUCUGUGCCAGCAGCCGCGGUAAUACAGAGGUCUCAAGCGUUGUUCGGAAUCACUGGGCGUAAAGCGUGCGUAGGCUGUUUCGUAAGUCGUGUGUGAAAGGCGCGGGCUCAACCCGCGGACGGCACAUGAUACUGCGAGACUAGAGUAAUGGAGGGGGAACCGGAAUUCUCGGUGUAGCAGUGAAAUGCGUAGAUAUCGAGAGGAACACUCGUGGCGAAGGCGGGUUCCUGGACAUUAACUGACGCUGAGGCACGAAGGCCAGGGGAGCGAAAGGGAUUAGAUACCCCUGUAGUCCUGGCAGUAAACGGUGCACGCUUUGGGGUGCGGGGAAUCGAACCCCUGCGUGCCCGAGCUAACCCGUUAAGC
RNAcentral lists this ribosomal RNA (838 nucleotides) under uncultured bacterium. RNAcentral's name for it is "bacterial SSU rRNA". It matches the Rfam family "Bacterial small subunit ribosomal RNA", at positions 8 to 865 of the family's 1533-position model. The record is from RNAcentral.